AUGACUUUGUCCUUUUGCACAGAUCGCAUCUCAAGAUUAGAAGGAAAUCCCCUAUGUUCAAAAGUCAAUGAUACAUACUGUUCAAAUAAGAAAAAGAACACCACAUCUACUGUGCUCAUCGCCGUGAUAGUUCCUGUGGUACUGAUAUCCCUCCUAGUAGUUAUGUGCAUAAUCUGGAAGUUAUGCUGGAAAGGAGAGCCAGGAGUCCAUGAAGAUUAUGCUAUGUAUGAAGAGGAAACUCACCUACAUAUUGAGAUUAGACGGUUUACGUAUGCAGAGUUGAAGCUCAUAACAAACGACUUCCAAUCAAUCAUUGGAAAAGGUGGUUUUGGUAUAGUUUACCAUGGCACACUGGAAAAUGGUAAAGAAAUAGCUGUUAAGGUGCUUAUGGAGACGUCAAUAGCGGAGUCAACAGAUUUUCUCCCUGAGGUGCAAACCUUGUCCCAAGUUCAUCACAAGAAUCUGGUGACUUUGCAAGGAUAUUGCCAAAACAAGAAGUGCCUCGCACUUGUUUAUGACUUCAUGCCCAGAGGAAAUCUUCAACAGCUUUUGAGAGGAGAAGACUGUAGUUUGAAUUGGGAACAACGAGUUCAUAUUGCCCUUGAUGCUGCACAAGGACUGGAGUAUCUACACGAGUCAUGCACCCCAUCAAUAGUGCACAGAGAUGUGAAGACGCCUAACAUCCUUGUGGACAAGAAUCUGGUGGGGGUAAUAUCUGAUUUUGGGCUUUCACGGGCCUUUAGUGAUGCUCACACACACAUAUCUACUGUUGCUGCUGGCACUAUUGGCUAUCUCGACCCUGAGUACCAUGCAACUUUUCAACUCACUGUCAAGGCAGAUGUUUACAGCUUCGGCAUCGUGCUUUUGGAAAUCAUCACUGGCCAACCCCCAAUACUUAUGGACCCUCAAGCUGUCCACCUACCAAAUUGGGUGCGCCAAAAGAUAGCGAAGGGCGGCAUUCAUGAUGUAGUAGACGAGAAGCUGCUAGAUCAGUACGAUGCCAGUUCGAUGCAGUGUGUGGUGGACCUUGCCAUGAACUGCGUCGAAAGCAUAGCCUUCAAUAGGCCCACCAUGACCGAGGUUGUUUCCAAGCUCAAAGUAUGUUUGCCAACAAUUUCUAGCGAAAAGAAGUCCGCUUCUGGGACCAAUACUGAACUUCCAAGCCAGUUCCAGCUGACGAUUUCAGGAGCAAGCAACGGCGGGAGAUAUACCGGUGGGACGUCACAAAUGAGCAUCUUUUCUGGACGAUGA
Molecule: ribosomal RNA, 1251 nt
Filed under: Triticum aestivum (bread wheat)
Lineage: Eukaryota; Viridiplantae; Streptophyta; Magnoliopsida; Poales; Poaceae
Description: partial small subunit ribosomal RNA
Source: RNAcentral